GACGAACGCUGGCGGCGUGCUUAACACAUGCAAGUCGAACGGAAAGGCCCAUUCUUGCUUGGGUACUCGAGUGGCGAACGGGUGAGUAACACGUGAGUUGUCUGCCCUGCCCUUCGGGAUAAGCGUGGGAAACUGGGUUUAAUACCGGAUAUGCCCACUGCUUGGAUGGUGUGGGGGAAAGUCUGUUCGGUGGGGGAUGAGCUCGCGGCCUAUCAGCUUGUUGGUGGGGUAGUGGCUUACCAAGGCGUUGACGGGUAGCCGGCCUGAGAGGGUGUACGGCCACAUUGGGACUGAGAUACGGCCCAGACUCCUACGGGAGGCAGCAGUGGGGAAUAUUGCACAAUGGGCGCAAGCCUGAUGCAGCGACGCCGCGUGGGGGAUGACGGCCUUCGGGUUGUAAACCGCUUUCGCUAGGGGCGAAGCGUGUUGUGACGGUACCUGGAGAAGAAGCACCGGCUAACUACGUG
This 467-nucleotide ribosomal RNA is filed under the name uncultured bacterium. Its description in RNAcentral is "partial 16S ribosomal RNA". It matches the Rfam family "Bacterial small subunit ribosomal RNA", at positions 28 to 507 of the family's 1533-position model. The record is from RNAcentral.